Molecule: ribosomal RNA, 253 nt
Filed under: uncultured bacterium
Lineage: Bacteria
Description: partial 16S ribosomal RNA
Rfam family: Bacterial small subunit ribosomal RNA
Source: RNAcentral
UACGUAGGGUCCGAGCGUUGUCCGGAAUUAUUGGGCGUAAAGGGCUCGUAGGCGGUUCGUCACGUCGGGAGUGAAAACUCGGGGCUUAACCCCGAGCCUGCUUCCGAUACGGGCAGACUAGAGGUAGGCAGGUGAGAGCGGAACUCCUGGUGUAGCGGUGGAAUGCGCAGAUAUCAGGAAGAACACCGGUGGCGAAGGCGGCUCUCUGGGCCUUACCUGACGCUGAGGAGCGAAAGCGUGGGUAGCGAACAGG